GUGAUAUCUUUGCAGAUGAAGCACUCUACUUAUCCACAGGACAGGACAGAUACAACACAGACAAUGCAGGCUUCCCGCACAGCCUCAAGGUACCUCAGCCCUGACCUAGAGGGUCUAUAUCUAUGCAUGAAAGGAUAGUUAAUUUCCCACCCCCAUUAAGUCCUUGAGCACU
This 172-nucleotide small RNA is filed under the name Gopherus agassizii (Agassiz's desert tortoise). Its description in RNAcentral is "TUC338 (ENSGAGG00000003121.1)". Lineage: Eukaryota; Metazoa; Chordata; Testudines; Testudinidae. The record is from RNAcentral.